This is a non-coding RNA of Pelobates cultripes (western spadefoot toad), 254 nucleotides long. The record is from the annotation of a GenBank genome assembly. NCBI's taxonomy places the organism in Eukaryota, Metazoa, Chordata, Amphibia, Anura, Pelobatidae.
GGCAAGGCGAUAUUUGGAUCCCGGCUGGACUUCAUCCUUGAAUCGGACGCCAGUUGUGUGGGCUGGGGGGCCACUUGUGGUGACAGGAGGACUCUGGACUCUGAAGGAGAGAGCUCUUCACAUCAGCUGUCUGGAACUGAUUGCAGGAUCAUUCGCCAUUUGCAGCUUCACCAAGGGGAAGCGUCACUCUUUACUACUUCUCCGCAUGGACAACGUCUCGGUUGUAAACCUGUUGCAAACUGCUGUCGGAUUUC